RNAcentral lists this ribosomal RNA (508 nucleotides) under Salmonella enterica subsp. enterica serovar Enteritidis. RNAcentral's name for it is "partial 23S ribosomal RNA". It matches the Rfam family "Bacterial large subunit ribosomal RNA", at positions 66 to 611 of the family's 2925-position model. Lineage: Bacteria; Pseudomonadati; Pseudomonadota; Gammaproteobacteria; Enterobacterales; Enterobacteriaceae. The record is from RNAcentral.
CUGCGAUAAGCGCCGGUAAGGUGAUAUGAACCGUUAUAACCGGCGAUACCCGAAUGGGGAAACCCAGUGUGAUUCGUCACACUAUCAUUAACUGAAUCCAUAGGUUAAUGAGGCGAACCGGGGGAACUGAAACAUCUAAGUACCCCGAGGAAAAGAAAUCAACCGAGAUUCCCCCAGUAGCGGCGAGCGAACGGGGAGGAGCCCAGAGCCUGAAUCAGCAUGUGUGUUAGUGGAAGCGUCUGGAAAGGCGCGCGAUACAGGGUGACAGCCCCGUACACAAAAGCGCAUGUGCUGUGAGCUCGAUGAGUAGGGCGGGACACGUGGUAUCCUGUCUGAAUAUGGGGGGACCAUCCUCCAAGGCUAAAUACUCCUGACUGACCGAUAGUGAACCAGUACCGUGAGGGAAAGGCGAAAAGAACCCCGGCGAGGGGAGUGAAAAAGAACCUGAAACCGUGUACGUACAAGCAGUGGGAGCACAGGUUUACCUGUGUGACUGCGUACCUUUUGU